RNAcentral lists this ribosomal RNA (880 nucleotides) under uncultured euryarchaeote. RNAcentral's name for it is "bacterial SSU rRNA". It matches the Rfam family "Archaeal small subunit ribosomal RNA", at positions 460 to 1337 of the family's 1478-position model. Lineage: Archaea; Methanobacteriati; Methanobacteriota. The record is from RNAcentral.
AGCAUCCGCGGUAACACCAGCGCCAUGAGUGGCAAUCAUAAUUAUUGGGCCUAAAGCGUCCGUAGCCGGUUUGAUCCGUCUUUUGUGAAAUCGUUGCGCUUAACGUAACGCUGUGCAAAAGAUACAGUCAGACUUGGUAACUGGAGAGGAGUCGGAGGUAUUCUGGGGGGAGCGGUAAAAUGCUAUAAUCCCUGGAGGACCACCUGUGGCGAAAGCGUCCGACUAGAACAGCUUCGACGGUGAGGGACGAAAGCCAGGGGAGCGAACCGGAUUAGAUACCCGAGUAGUCCUGGCCAUAAACGCUGCGAGCAAGGUGUUACACAUUCUACUUGAAUGUGUAGUGUCGAAAUGAAGAUGUUAAGCUCGCCGCCUGGGAAGUAUGGUCGCAAGGCUGAAACUUAAAGGAAUUGGCGGGGGAGCACCACAAGGGGUGCGGCGUGCGGUUUAAUCUAAUUCAACGCAGAGAAUCUCACCAGCAGCGACGGCAGGAUGAAGGUCAGUCUGAAGGGCUUACCUGACGAGCCGAGAGGUAGUGCAUGGCCAUCGUCAGCUCGUGCUGUAAAGUGUCCUGUUAAGUCAGGCAACGAGCGAGACCUGUAUCCACAAUUGCUAACAACUCUUUUAAGAGAAUUGUGCACAUUGUGGGAACUGCCCUCGAAAGGGGGAGGAAGGUGCAGGCUACGGUAGGUCUGUACGCUCCGAAUCUGCUGGGCUACACGCGCGCAACAAUGGUAAGGACAAUGUGAUGCGACUCUGAAAAGAGAAGCUAAUCCUCGAAACCUUAUCUAAGUUCAGAUUGGGGACUGUAAUUCGUCCUCAUGACGCUGGAAUCCCUAGUAAUCAGACGUCAUCAUCGUCUGGUGAAUAUGUCCCUGCUCCU